AAAAAAAGAAAAAUCGGAAAAGAUUAUCCAAAAGUUAAGGGCAGCUUUCACCUGUGCCGCCUGAUCCCGUUUUCUCCGUUUUAGAUAUGUCUAGGAGUCAGCUUGAACAGGAGAAGAAGUUCCUAGAUUCUUUUGUCUGGGUAAACGAGAUCACUGGAGAAACCACCUUUCCUCCAGGGGAGGGGACUACACCUGCAGCCUCUGGAGAGAAGCGUCCGGCAAGGUCGAGGUCUCCGCGAGGGAACAUACCCUGCUCGGUGGCUGCUCACAGACCCGCUUCCCCAGUGAACCCCGAGGCUGUGGGCAGAGGCCCCGGGACAGGAAGCUUGCUUCUACCCGACCUGGGCAUGCCCCGUGUCCUGUCCCCACCAGGGAGCGCUCUGCCGACGCAGGACCACCUGGGAGUGUCCCCUCCACUGGCCCGGGUGUUUCCAGCUAGCCCCUCUCCGCCCUGGGCCCUGUCCUGCAAGCUAAGGAACGUGCUGACAGGAAACAACCGGUUUUCCUUUUGAGCUAGGGAGUGCCAAGGGAGCGGUCGCCCAUCUACACUUGCAGUGCCCUCUGAAGGUCCCAUCAGCCGCACCCCCAGAAGAACAAGUUUACAGGAAUCGGCAAAACGCUUUCAGACCCAAUACAAACUUUUCUGAUUGCCUUCUA
RNAcentral lists this long non-coding RNA (657 nucleotides) under Rattus norvegicus (Norway rat). Its description in RNAcentral is "long non-coding RNA NONRATT029100". The record is from RNAcentral. Lineage: Eukaryota; Metazoa; Chordata; Mammalia; Rodentia; Muridae.